RNAcentral lists this ribosomal RNA (253 nucleotides) under uncultured bacterium. RNAcentral describes it as "partial 16S ribosomal RNA". It matches the Rfam family "Bacterial small subunit ribosomal RNA", at positions 524 to 776 of the family's 1533-position model. The record is from RNAcentral.
UACAGAGGUGGCAAGCGUUGUUCGGAAUUACUGGGCGUAAAGGGCGCGUAGGCGGUUCGUCAAGUCCUGUGUGAAAUCCCCCGGCUCAACUGGGGAACUGCACAGGAAACUAGCGGGCUUGAGUUCGGGAGAGGGAAGCGGAAUUCCGGGUGUAGCGGUGAAAUGCGUAGAUAUCCGGAGGAACACCGGUGGCGAAGGCGGCUUCCUGGACCGACACUGACGCUGAGGCGCGAAAGUGUGGGGAGCGAACAGG